AGGUUUUAUUAGGAUUAUGGUAAUCUACGGUAAAGGUAGUUGAUCAAAUACAUUGUAAAAGGUAUUCAACAAGUCCACACGCUCAUUCAAUAACUUACCAGCUGAGGAGUCAUCCACUGACGUUAUAACCAACCGAACUUAAUAAGCUCUAGGCUAUGUCGCCUCCUCUGCAUCAUGUCAGCUAUACAAUUGAUACAUAUCAUAGGUUCCUCAUGAGGUUGAGGAAUUGCUAGUUGCAUUAUCCAAAAUCGGGCUGGGGUUAACAUUGGGGCUCGGGUCGGAGUCCAUACGUAAGCCGUGGUCGGCGUUUAGGCAAGGUUCGAUGUCCGAAAGUGAGCCAUUGGUCAUUGGUUGAGUGAGAUUCGUAGUUCGAGAGUAUGCCAGGGUCAUCGGGAAGGGAAGCAUCGAGGACCAUGGUCAAAAAAA
Long non-coding RNA from Ostrinia furnacalis (Asian corn borer), 426 nucleotides. RefSeq lists it as uncharacterized. The transcript is spliced from 2 exons. The record is from RefSeq and is a predicted model, not a curated record. NCBI's taxonomy places the organism in Eukaryota, Metazoa, Arthropoda, Insecta, Lepidoptera, Crambidae.